GGGGGGGAAGGAUUUAACUCUCACUGAGUGAAGGAGCUGCUGAUUUAGUCAAGUCGAGAACAGGAUGUGAACCUUUGGUCUAGUGCGUUGACAUUUACAUCUCUGAGUGAGAGUGCUUGUUUUCAGUGGAAGAGCAGCAAGGCUGCUUUUUGAAACAUUUAAAUGGGCUUAUGGUAUUACUGCAAAACACUCUAGACAUGCACAGCAUGAAGAAACAAGUUGAAAGGUACAUUUGGAUGCUCCAGACUCAGAUCAGAUAAACUCACAGGAUUCACGUGGCCUCUGACACCAGAAAGUCAGAAACUGGGUAGCUGAGGAGACUUAAUGUGAGG
Long non-coding RNA from Apaloderma vittatum (bar-tailed trogon), 332 nucleotides. RefSeq lists it as uncharacterized. The record is from RefSeq and is a predicted model, not a curated record. Lineage: Eukaryota; Metazoa; Chordata; Aves; Trogoniformes; Trogonidae. The transcript has 3 exons.